UGGCGGCGUAGGAAAAGGUGAUCUUGACGCGCUCGGGUUGCGGCUCGAUUCUGCCGAUCCUCCCGACGGCCACCCCC
This 77-nucleotide transfer RNA is filed under the name Mycobacterium saskatchewanense. Its description in RNAcentral is "tRNA-Pro". Lineage: Bacteria; Bacillati; Actinomycetota; Actinomycetes; Mycobacteriales; Mycobacteriaceae. The record is from RNAcentral.